CCUACGGGUGGCAGCAGUGGGGAAUAUUGGACAAUGGGCGAAAGCCUGAUCCAGCCAUGCCGCGUGUGUGAAGAAGGCCUUCGGGUUGUAAAGCACUUUCAGUGGGGAAGAAAGCCUUGGGGCUAAUACCCUCGAGGAAGGACAUCACCCACAGAAGAAGCACCGGCUAACUCCGUGCCAGCAGCCGCGGUAAUACGGAGGGUGCGAGCGUUAAUCGGAAUUACUGGGCGUAAAGCGCGCGUAGGCGGUCUGAUAAGCCGGUUGUGAAAGCCCCGGGCUCAACCUGGGAACGGCAUCCGGAACUGUCAGGCUAGAGUGCAGGAGAGGAAGGUAGAAUUCCCGGUGUAGCGGUGAAAUGCGUAGAGAUCGGGAGGAAUACCAGUGGCGAAGGCGGCCUUCUGGACUGACACUGACGCUGAGGUGCGUAAGCGUGGGUAGCAAACAGGAUUAGAUACCCGAGUAGUC
This 465-nucleotide ribosomal RNA is filed under the name Vreelandella stevensii. RNAcentral's name for it is "partial 16S ribosomal RNA". It matches the Rfam family "Bacterial small subunit ribosomal RNA", at positions 338 to 795 of the family's 1533-position model. Lineage: Bacteria; Pseudomonadati; Pseudomonadota; Gammaproteobacteria; Oceanospirillales; Halomonadaceae. The record is from RNAcentral.